GUGCUUGCUUCGGCAGCACAUAUACUAAAAUUGGAACGAUACAGAGAAGAUUAGCAUGGCCUCUGCGCAAAGAUGACACACAAAUUCAUGAAGCGUUCCAUAUUUUU
RNAcentral lists this small nuclear RNA (107 nucleotides) under Meriones unguiculatus (Mongolian gerbil). Lineage: Eukaryota; Metazoa; Chordata; Mammalia; Rodentia; Muridae. The record is from RNAcentral.